RNAcentral lists this long non-coding RNA (228 nucleotides) under Brassica rapa (field mustard). RNAcentral describes it as "long non-coding RNA (BRAP_LNC001098)". Lineage: Eukaryota; Viridiplantae; Streptophyta; Magnoliopsida; Brassicales; Brassicaceae. The record is from RNAcentral.
UUAGCAUAUAAAUUGGUUUGGAUUAAAUAUUUGGAUCGAGAAUCAAUAAUUAUUUUAAGUAUUGCAACAGUGAACGUGGGAAGAAAGCAGUGUGAGAAGCUGUUUCUGUAUGUAAUGAAGAAAAUAAAAGCCUGCAGUAGAAGAACCUAAGGCAAAUGAGAAAGAAGAGUAGUCUCGAAGCAAUUAUGGCAACUAUCAGAGAGAUAUGGAGGAGGAGGAGAUAACCAU